AGUAGUGUGGCUCUGUGGUACAGCACUUGCCUAGUAGGUAUGAAGCCCUGAGUUGGAUCCUCAGCAUUGCAA
Molecule: transfer RNA, 72 nt
Filed under: Fukomys damarensis (Damara mole-rat)
Lineage: Eukaryota; Metazoa; Chordata; Mammalia; Rodentia; Bathyergidae
Rfam family: tRNA
About the family: Transfer RNA (tRNA) molecules are approximately 80 nucleotides in length. Their secondary structure includes four short double-helical elements and three loops (D, anti-codon, and T loops). Further hydrogen bonds mediate the characteristic L-shaped molecular structure. tRNAs have two regions of fundamental functional importance: the anti-codon, which is responsible for specific mRNA codon recognition, and the 3' end, to which the tRNAs corresponding amino acid is attached (by aminoacyl-tRNA synthetases). tRNAs cope with the degeneracy of the genetic code in two manners: having more than one tRNA (with a specific anti-codon) for a particular amino acid; and 'wobble' base-pairing, i.e. permitting non-standard base-pairing at the 3rd anti-codon position.
Source: Rfam by way of RNAcentral